AACGAACGCUGGCGGCAUGCCUAACACAUGCAAGUCGAACGAGACCUUCGGGUCUAGUGGCGCACGGGUGCGUAACGCGUGGGAACCUGCCCUUAGGUUCGGAAUAACCCCCCGAAAGGGGUGCUAAUACCGGAUAAUGUCUUCGGACCAAAGAUUUAUCGCCUUUGGAUGGGCCCGCGUUGGAUUAGCUAGUUGGUAGGGUAAAAGCCUACCAAGGCGACGAUCCAUAGCUGGUCUGAGAGGAUGAUCAGCCACACUGGGGCUGAGACACGGCCCAGACUCCUACGGGAGGCAGCAGUGGGGAAUAGUGGACAAUGGGCGAAAGCCUGAUCCAGCAAUGCCGCGUGAGUGAUGAAGGCCUUAGGGUUGUAAAGCUCUUUUACCCGGGAUGAUAAUGACAGUACCGGGAGAAUAAGCGCCGGCUAACUCCGUG
This 433-nucleotide ribosomal RNA is filed under the name uncultured bacterium. RNAcentral's name for it is "partial 16S ribosomal RNA". It matches the Rfam family "Bacterial small subunit ribosomal RNA", at positions 29 to 507 of the family's 1533-position model. The record is from RNAcentral.